UAUAUCGGAACGUGCCCAGUUGUGGGGGAUAACGCAGCGAAAGCUGUGCUAAUACCGCAUACGAUCUACGGAUGAAAGCGGGGGAUCGCAAGACCUCGCGCGAUUGGAGCGGCCGAUAUCAGAUCAGCUAGUUGGUGGGGUAAAAGCCCACCAAGGCGACGAUCUGUAGCUGGUCUGAGAGGACGACCAGCCACACUGGAACUGAGACACGGUCCAG
Molecule: ribosomal RNA, 217 nt
Filed under: uncultured bacterium
Lineage: Bacteria
Description: partial 16S ribosomal RNA
Rfam family: Bacterial small subunit ribosomal RNA
Source: RNAcentral